This 464-nucleotide ribosomal RNA is filed under the name Vreelandella stevensii. RNAcentral describes it as "partial 16S ribosomal RNA". It matches the Rfam family "Bacterial small subunit ribosomal RNA", at positions 338 to 795 of the family's 1533-position model. The record is from RNAcentral. Lineage: Bacteria; Pseudomonadati; Pseudomonadota; Gammaproteobacteria; Oceanospirillales; Halomonadaceae.
CCUACGGGGUCUGCAGUGGGGAAUAUUGGACAAUGGGCGAAAGCCUGAUCCAGCCAUGCCGCGUGUGUGAAGAAGGCCUUCGGGUUGUAAAGCACUUUCAGUGGGGAAGAAAGCCUUGGGGCUAAUACCCUCGAGGAAGGACAUCACCCACAGAAGAAGCACCGGCUAACUCCGUGCCAGCAGCCGCGGUAAUACGGAGGGUGCGAGCGUUAAUCGGAAUUACUGGGCGUAAAGCGCGCGUAGGCGGUCUGAUAAGCCGGUUGUGAAAGCCCCGGGCUCAACCUGGGAACGGCAUCCGGAACUGUCAGGCUAGAGUGCAGGAGAGGAAGGUAGAAUUCCCGGUGUAGCGGUGAAAUGCGUAGAGAUCGGGAGGAAUACCAGUGGCGAAGGCGGCCUUCUGGACUGACACUGACGCUGAGGUGCGAAAGCGUGGGUAGCAAACAGGAUUAGAUACCCGUGUCGUC